This 83-nucleotide small RNA is filed under the name Marmota monax (woodchuck). Lineage: Eukaryota; Metazoa; Chordata; Mammalia; Rodentia; Sciuridae. The record is from RNAcentral.
GCUGGGUGUGGUAGUGCAUGCCUGUAAUCCCAGAGACUUGGGAAGCUGAGGCAGGAGGAUUGCAAAUUCAAAAUCAGUCUCAG